CCAAACUUGGUCAUUUAGAGGAAGUAAAAGUCGUAACAAGGUUUCCGUAGGUGAACCUGCGGAAGGAUCAUUAUCGAAAUCCUUCGAGGAAAGCGUGGAACGGGGGGGGAAGGAAUCGAGCGGGGGAAAGUUUCGGUCGGAGGUUGUCGCUGGCCCCUCUCGGGGCAUGUGCACGCCUCUGCCUCUGUCUCCUGUUCCCUUUCUCCUUCGCGCGGACCUCGUUCUCUCACACACACCCGUGCACGCGUUGUAGGCUUCCUCGAGAGGGGAAGCAUACGUCUUUCAUAAACUCUUCCGUAUGUCCAUAGAAUGUCCACGAAACUAUUCGUAUUCGAACAACUUUCAGCAAUGGAUCUCUUGGCUCUCGCAUCGAUGAAGAACGCAGC
RNAcentral lists this unclassified non-coding RNA (386 nucleotides) under uncultured fungus. Its description in RNAcentral is "partial contains small subunit ribosomal RNA, internal transcribed spacer 1, and 5.8S ribosomal RNA". The stretch from base 1 to 73 matches the Rfam family "Eukaryotic small subunit ribosomal RNA", at positions 1759 to 1831 of the family's 1831-position model. The record is from RNAcentral. Lineage: Eukaryota; Fungi.